This is a long non-coding RNA of Pipistrellus kuhlii (Kuhl's pipistrelle), 527 nucleotides long. RefSeq lists it as uncharacterized. NCBI's taxonomy places the organism in Eukaryota, Metazoa, Chordata, Mammalia, Chiroptera, Vespertilionidae. The transcript has 2 exons. The record is from RefSeq and is a predicted model, not a curated record.
AUCAGCAUGGGCGUCGUCCUCCCACAGCACCUCCCCAUCCCUGUGUUCCAGUGGCGGUGAUCUCCCCGUGCUCCUGUUCCCUCCCACCUAGUGCUUGCCUUUGUUCCAGGAAUAGCGCCCCAGGUUCCUGCUGCAGUUGGGUGGCUCUGGAGUGCGCCACCGCUGGCCGCCCCCUGCUGCGAGCCCGGCCCCUCCCCUGCGGACUUGGACUCUGUCCUGGGCUCCAGCUGCGAGCUGGGCUCCCGCUGCACACUGGACAGACCCCCGCAGACCAGCCUUUGCCAACUUCUCCCUGCCAGGCCAGCGGGCCUGCAUAGGUGUGCCCAGGGACCAGCGCUGAGGCUUCCAGCACCAUCCACCACCUCCCACCUACAGACUGCAGCCGCCAGUGAUCUCUUCUCACCCAGGAGCUGUCUCUCUGGUGUGUGCCUUUUGUUCAACACAGUGACCCCUGCACUCUGCCCUGCUCUUCUACACUACCUAGACAACAGUCUUUUCCUUAUUUUCAAUAAAUGUCAGAUGCUAUU